CGCAAUAUUUGCUGUUCUUGAAAUGUUUGCUGCAUGUAAUUGAAGCUUAAGUCCAGCAAAGAACAUAUGGCUGGAGCCACUAAUGAGUACUCUUUGGAAUGACCAUUCAGUCAACUUUGAGCUCAUCUAACAGGAAAUCCAUAUUUUACCAUUUCAUAAAGAACAAUAUUUUGAGGCACUCUAUAAAGGCUUUGCUGAGAUCCAGAAAUGAUCACAUCUGGUGGAUCAGCUACAGCUUGGCAAAGGCUUUUUAGGACAUGUCUUUACCUGGAGCAUCCACGGGUCCAGAAGAAUUCCCAAUAUAAAUUGCCCUCCAAUCAUACUUGAUCCUGGAAACUGGAUAGUCACUUCUAUGUUGUUUUCUGGGUAUCAAUAUGGAAGUGAUUUGCCAAGGCCAUUUGCCACUUUUUUAAGUUCUUACAGCUCUAAUAUUUCCUGAAAGUCUGAUUUCCGAGUAUUAACCAAGACGGACUCUAUCAUUUCUGAGAUCAGACAAAAAUCAGUAAGUCUAUAGACAUAAUAAUAUUAGUGGAAGGGAAGGGAAAGAGAAUAUUACAAAAAGUGAAAUAUUUAUUUUUUUGGAUACCCAAGGAUUCCAAAUAUAAG
Molecule: long non-coding RNA, 606 nt
Organism: Crotalus tigris (Tiger rattlesnake)
Lineage: Eukaryota; Metazoa; Chordata; Lepidosauria; Squamata; Viperidae
Exons: 3
Source: RefSeq, a predicted model, not a curated record